AAAGGUUUUAAGGACACAGUAAAACAAUGCCUCAACCCAGCUCUCCAUACAGCAGCUGUUGGGUAUCCUGCGAUCACUUAUUCUCCUCACAACUCUGGCCCAGCCUGGCUGUAUUAAGGGACUUGCAAAACCACAAAGAGAGCGGAAACCGAUAGAGCAAUAUUGUAACAUCAAAUUAGAAAAUUAGAAAAGAAUUAUAAUACAGGGUUGACGGCGAGGGAGAAUGAAUGCAAGUGCUCUUGUAUUAUCAAGACAUCAUCUGGAAACUGUUUUAUUGGCCUGAAGGUGCAGGUGUAUGGUUUGUGGAAAGCCCUAUUGAUUUCAAAUGGAAAUUCCAUGUGU
Tachyglossus aculeatus (Australian echidna) is the source of this 342-nucleotide long non-coding RNA. RefSeq lists it as uncharacterized. Lineage: Eukaryota; Metazoa; Chordata; Mammalia; Monotremata; Tachyglossidae. The transcript is spliced from 3 exons. The record is from RefSeq and is a predicted model, not a curated record.